AGAAAGCCAAUUUUUUUAUAUCAAUAAGUAUCUUAGUGAGAUACAAUUGUUUUCAAUAAAUGACAAUAGACUUCCUGCAAGUGCUUUAUUAUCUCUUCCUCGCUCAGAGGUUUUGAGAAGAAAAAGGUAGGUGUCUAGCUCUAGAGAGAAGCCCAUUUGUUGGGGCAUAGGGGUUGCAGUCGGAAAAAUUUUGUUAUGAUCUUCAGAGGCCCUUGUCCCCAGCCGUGGUAAAGGAUCGACUUUCUUUGUAUCUCUUUGGGCCAAAGGCGCAUGAGCAUCACUGAGGUAUCUCUCGUUAAUUUUGCAAAGAAGUUGGGUAUCAGUCCUCUAUAAAUUCUUGUCUCUCUCUUUCCCUCCUUUCUUUCCUUUAAUUUGGAGGAUUCCUUAUUCACCUCUGAUUUAUUUUCUUUUCUCUUUAUUUUUUUUCUUUCCUUUGGCUUGGAGGACUCUUUGUCCUCCACUAAUGCAUCUUCUUUUCUCUUUCUUUUUUUUUUGGCUAGAAUGUUUCGCCUCUUUCUGAAAAUGCUUCUUAUUUUAUGAAGAAAAUAAUGGACUUCAAAAUUCUUGUUUUCCGGUGUUCUAGCCUAAUUUUCUCACAGUUCAUUCAGGUCAAUUUUCACUCAAUUUUUAUUACAUUUCUUAAUUCUUAAAAUCUCUUUAAUCUAUAGAAUUGGAUUAUCAAAACCAAUUCCAUUCUUAUUCAAGGCUUGCUAGCUAGCAAAGUUGCAAUUAAAGAUCUCCUUUCGAGAAGUUAAAAGUAGCGAAAUUGGUUCAAAGAAUAAAGUUAUAAUAAAUUUACAUGUCAAGAAUAUUUUACCAAAGUGAAAAAGAUAGAGUAGGAAUUAAGUCAAACAGGUCAUUAUCG
RNAcentral lists this long non-coding RNA (865 nucleotides) under Carica papaya (papaya). RNAcentral's name for it is "long non-coding RNA (CPAP_LNC014234)". The record is from RNAcentral. Lineage: Eukaryota; Viridiplantae; Streptophyta; Magnoliopsida; Brassicales; Caricaceae.